RNAcentral lists this ribosomal RNA (864 nucleotides) under uncultured beta proteobacterium. RNAcentral describes it as "bacterial SSU rRNA". It matches the Rfam family "Bacterial small subunit ribosomal RNA", at positions 56 to 902 of the family's 1533-position model. The record is from RNAcentral. Lineage: Bacteria; Pseudomonadati; Pseudomonadota; Betaproteobacteria.
UGCAAGUCGUGCGGUCAAAAUGAGGGGGCUUGCAACGGACGAGCGGCGGACGGGUGAGUAAUGCAUGGGAAUGCGCCCGAUAGUGGGGGACAACCCUGGGAAACCAGGGCUAAUACCGCAUGUUUUCUACGGAACAAAGCGGGGGAUCUUUUCGGAGACCUCGCGCUAUCGGAGCAGCCCAUGUCCGAUUAGCUUGUUGGCGGGGUAACGGCCCACCAAGGCGACGAUCGGUAGCUGGUCUGAGAGGAUGAUCAGCAACACCGGGACUGAGACACGGCCCGGANUCNUACGGGAGGCAGCAGUGGGGAAUAUUGGACAAUGGGGGCAACCCUGAUCCAGCGAUGCCGCGUGAGUGAAGAAGGCUUUCGGGUUGUAAAGCUCUUUCGCAGGGGAAGAAAAAACGCGGAGUAAUACGCCGCGUCCAUGACGGUACCCUGACAAGAAGCACCGGCUAACUUCGUGCCAGCAGCCGCGGUAAUACGGGGGGUGCAAGCGUUAAUCGGAAUUACUGGGCGUAAAGCGUGCGUAGGCGGCCGUCCAAGUCAGAUGUGAAAGCCCCGGGCUCAACCCGGGAACUGCGUUUGAAACUGGAGGGCUUGAGUUCGGCAGAGGAAGGUGGAAUUCCGCGUGUAGCGUGGGAAUGCGUAGAGAUGCGGAAGAACACUAAUGGCGAAGGCAUCCUUCUGGGCCGACACUGACGCUGAGUCACGAAAGCGUGGGGAGCAAACAGGAUUAGAUACCCUGGUAGUCCACGCCCUAAACGAUGCCCGCUAGCUGUCGGAGGUUCCAAUUUAUUGGUCUUUCGGUAGCGACGUAACGCGUUAAGCGGNCCGCCUGGGGAAUACGGUCGCAAGAUUAAAACUC